AGCAAACACAAGUGGAGAACUGGACCUGGUAAAAUUGGAUUUGCAACGUAAAGUCAGAAAUGAGGCUUGUUAUUCAACAUUUGGGUUGUUAACACAUCUACUGCCUCCUGUUGGAGCAAGUCAUCCCAGCGAGAAGCCUUGAAUCUCCUGUUUACCUUUCAGUGGCCUUUUCUUCACAAUCCUCUCAAGGCUGGGGUUAAUCCUUUUGUACCACACUUCUUCCUUCCCCUCAACUUUUCAUGAAUAUGGUUGGAUACAGCCCUCUGUGAACUGCCACCUUCAACAUUUCAGAAAUACACACUUUCUGCCUCUCAUAAAUUGUUGUGGUUUGUUUGGACCAAUGUGCAGACUGAUGCUCAUGAGUCGCAUGUGGUUCAUGUGGGAGCUGGUGCCUAUCUCCAGCAGUCCACGGGCGAGAGGCAGGGUACACCCUGGACAGGUCGCCAGUCCAUCGCAGCUAAAUCUAACAACAAAUAGCAGUCAGUAAAAAUAUAUGCAGUGAAGAGCAAAAAGGGUAAAGUGUUUAGUGCAGGUGAGCAUGUAGUGAGAGAGUCUACAGAGUGUGGUUUGAGUUCAGCAGUUUGACAUCUUCAGGGAAGAUGCUGUUUCUGGGCCUGGUGGUCUUGCUCUGAAUGCUCCUCACCUGUCUGCCUGAGGGGAGGGGCUGAAACAGUCUGUGUGACAGAUGGGUGGAGUCCUUUGGAGGGUCUCCCCCUGCAUCGUAAUGUGUAGAGGUCCACGGUGGUGGGAAGACUGCUCCCCACAAGAGUGACAUGUGUAUUGCUUCAUAUUCUCAACUAUAAUUAUGUAUAAAUUGUUUGAGCAAAUACGGAUAUAUUUUUAAACUUUUUCAUUGCUUCAGUGGAAAGUCAGUCAGUGUGUAAAGCUGCUCUUUCACACUUGCUCUCACUGUGUGUGUGUAUAUUUGACCCACCUGUCAGUACAAAUCAAACUGAAUCUAAUAAAAUGUCUGAGCUGCUUGUUGCUAGUGUUGCUACAUUUAUGACCUGUACCUUCCUUCAGUACAAAGAUCAGACAGAAAUGUUUCACAUGUUCUUUUUUUAUAACACAAUAGGAGAAAACCUAACCUUGACAUGUGGUGUGGUAACACUACCAAAACAACCCAAUCACUUUUGUCAUCUUUUUUGGUGCCCCACAUUGAAACCAUGGCCCUCAUUUUGAAAGAUGAUCUGCAAUCACAGACAAGCAGAAAUUAUGUCUAGUGUGGAGAUAUAUUAUGUGUGUGCAUUAUUAUUAUUAUGUUCAUAACCAGUGUGGGAAAUAAAAUGUAUAACCUGUGUUAGUGGCCUGCAGAAAUGUAUUGCACAAACUUGGCCUUGAGUGUGGUGAAGCAGAAAAAUAGUGAAGAACUGUAAGGGUGGGAGAAGGAUGUGAAAAGAUUAACGGGCCAAGCACUCCCUUCUUAUAUCAGUAGAUACGAGUGGAGGUGCUGGGAGACAGGAACAUGUCCUAAUAUGGUAGGCAGGAAAAGUUUGUAAGUGACUAUAUGUGAGAAAAAAACUGUAAACAGGGCGCUGCCCAUUUUCAUGUGUUUUAAUAAAAGCCAUGUGCCCAGUGAGAAGCUCCGAAGUCGUCUCGGUGUGUGGUCAGAUCACAGAGAGCUUCCCUGAUCCAGGUAUUUUUAAUACAGCUGUCUCCAUGUGAUUUAUUCCAAAUGUGUGUAAUUCUACCAGGUUAUGGGGAAUAAACGAACACGCAGAAGGCCUCUUUAAAGAGAAUCUUCAACACUAGGUAUAGAAGUAAAGCGAGGUGUUAACACAAACCCAUAAUAUCAUAAAUAUCAGUUACAGUCUUUCACAAACCACAUAGAACCAAACUGCAACCAUGCGUAAAAGCAACUCUGAUCAUAAGGAACCAAGGAAAUGCUUUUGCCCUACAUGCGAAACAAUUGGUAGCAGAAAACUAAUACUGCAAUGUAUUCUAAACACACCAUCCCCACAGUGAAACAUGGUAC
Long non-coding RNA from Girardinichthys multiradiatus, 1975 nucleotides. RefSeq lists it as uncharacterized. The record is from RefSeq and is a predicted model, not a curated record. NCBI's taxonomy places the organism in Eukaryota, Metazoa, Chordata, Actinopteri, Cyprinodontiformes, Goodeidae. The transcript has 3 exons.